Long non-coding RNA from Oncorhynchus tshawytscha (Chinook salmon), 1312 nucleotides. The record is from Ensembl. Lineage: Eukaryota; Metazoa; Chordata; Actinopteri; Salmoniformes; Salmonidae.
GUGAAACCCAAGGUAAUGUGUGAUAAAGAUAGUGCUGCUGGCUGGUAUGGGGGCAGAGCAGGGAACAUUCCUCCCACUUACUGCCGCUAGUCGCUCUGAGGACAAAGAAUCAAAUGGGUCAGGCUGGAGAAACCAGGAUCUGUCGCUGCCGGAAACGUUAUAGCUCCUGCUACAAACGUUACUGUAGGCCACAGACAUAUCCAGAGCUCAUCCGAAGUCCCGUUUUAUUGUUGACGUUUGUUGCGGAUACAAUUUGUAGUUUUUCCUCUUCUGAGAAUGAAGAUGGUUAUUUCACAUUGUCGAAGGUUUGCGCCGCAGUUUUAAAGGGACGGAGGCAAGGCGCUCUCUUCCUCCUCCUCGGACAGACGAGGAAGAGCCUGGAAACCGCUUGGGAAUGUAAAACAUACUCCGAGUCAAUGUUCUCAACGUGGCUCUCUGGAUGAUGUAUCCUCUGGGACCUCGUUUCAAUGGUGCACUUGUCUGUUGUGGAUGUUAAUGUUUCCUGAACCAACGACCUAUAGCCGAGAAGAGCAUCGGUUUCCAACAGUGUGCCAGUUAUCAUCCGUCUAUUCUCAUCUAGAGACAACUACUACUUGGUUGAAAUGAAUGGGCCACAAUACAAACUGCGUAUGUGUCUAAUCAACAGAAAACGCUUGUAGGAAUCUUAGCCUACUUCCGACCACCGGUUAUUAGGUUACUUUGACCAGCACACAGACAAGAACUCCUUAACAGAUCCUGUAGUAGUCAUGGUAAUCCCAGAUCUCCUUAACAGAUCAUGUAGUAGUCAUGGUAACCCCAGACCUCCUUAACAGAUCCUGUAGUAGUCAUGGUAACCCCAGACCUCCUUAACAGAUCCUGUAGUAGUCAUGGUAAUCCCAGACUUCCUUAACAAAUCCUGUAGUAGUCAUGGUAAUCCCAGACCUCCUUAACAGAUCCUGUAGUAGUCAUGGUAAUCCCAGACCUCCUUAACAGAUCCUGUAGUAGUCAUGGUAACCCCAGACCUCCUUAACAGAUCCUGUAGUAGUCAUGGUUUUUCCCAGUGAUCAGAUAGCAGCAGAGCUGGAGGAGAUAACACCAGGAGGACUGAUACUGUUCCUUCUUCAGGAAACAAGGAGGGAGCAAAGUUCUGCUGGGAGGAGAGACGUGGACUGAGAGACGAGUGAGAGACGUGGACUGAGGGAAGAGAGAGUGAGAGAGACGUGGACUGAGGGAAGAGAGAGCGAGAGAGAGGUGGACUGAGGGAAGAAAGAGUGAGAGAGACGUGGACUGAGAGAAGAGAGCGAGACCUGGGCUGAGAGAAGAGAGAGGGAGA